This 957-nucleotide ribosomal RNA is filed under the name Auxenochlorella pyrenoidosa. Its description in RNAcentral is "partial small subunit ribosomal RNA". It matches the Rfam family "Eukaryotic small subunit ribosomal RNA", at positions 52 to 1002 of the family's 1831-position model. Lineage: Eukaryota; Viridiplantae; Chlorophyta; Trebouxiophyceae; Chlorellales; Chlorellaceae. The record is from RNAcentral.
UGCAUGUCUAANUAUAANCGAUCUUAUACCGCGAAACUGCGAGUGGCUCUUUAUAUCUUUUAUAUUCUACUUGAUCGUAUCUUCUUACAUGGAUAACCGUAGUAAUUCUAGAGCUAAUACAUGCUAAAAAUCCCGGACGCGGCAACGCGGAAGGGACUAUUUUAUUACAUUAAAAACCGACACCUCUCCGCGAGGGGAGGUAGCACAGGUGAUUCACAGUAACCGAUCGGAUCGUCGGCCCCGCCGACGACGAGGCAUACGAGUUUCUGCCCUAUCAACUUUAGAUGGACUAGUAUCGGUCUACCAUGGUCGUAACAGGUGACGGGGGAUUAGGGUUAGAUUCCGGAAAAGGAGCCUGANAAACCGCUACCACGUCCAAGGAAGGCAGCUUGCCCGCAAAUUACCCAGUCCCGACACGGGGAGGUAGUGACAACAAGUACCAUUGUAAUGUCUCCACGAGAGGCUUACAAUUGGAAUGAGUACUAUUUAAAUCCCUUAGCGAGUAACGAUUGGAGGGCAAGUCUGGUGCCANCACCCCCGGUAAUUCCAACUCCAAUAUCGUAUAUUAUAGUUGUUGCANUUAAAAAUCUCGUAGUUGGAUUUCAGAGGGUCCUUANCAAUCCGCCCCUUCAGGGACCGNGUUGCUGGCCUCCUAUGUGCCUAACGGUCCUCGUCCGCGAGGGCGGGGAAUCGACCGCUANGAUCGUUUACUUUGANGAAAUUANAGUGUUCAAAGCANGCGUAUCUCNCCUCCNAAUACGUUAGCAUGNGAUAANGGAANACCACUUCNGUCUUGUUUCGUUGGUUUCGCUUGGCUGAGGUAAUGAUUGAUAGGGACAGUUGGNGGCAUNNUAUUUNNNNGNCNNANNUGANAUNCUNNNNNUACUAAAGACUGACCAAUGCGANAGCAUUUGCCNCNGAUGUUUUCNUUANNCANAACUAANGUAGGGGAUCGAU